UUAACCGAAACCAAAAUAGAGGUAUAUUACUGUUAAUAAUAUUAAUGAAGUUAUAUUCCGGUUAAG
RNAcentral lists this transfer RNA (66 nucleotides) under Mastotermes darwiniensis (giant northern termite). RNAcentral describes it as "tRNA-Asn". The record is from RNAcentral. Lineage: Eukaryota; Metazoa; Arthropoda; Insecta; Blattodea; Mastotermitidae.